AUUGAACGCUGGCGGCAGGCCUAACACAUGCAAGUCGAGCGGAGGAAGGGAGCUUGCUCCUGGAUUCAGCGGCGGACGGGUGAGUAAUGCCUAGGAAUCUGCCUGGUAGUGGGGGAGAACGUCCGGAAACGGGCGCUAAUACCGCAUACGUCCUGAGGGAGAAAGUGGGGGAUCUUCGGACCUCACGCUAUCAGAGGAGCCUAGGUCGGAUUAGCUAGUUGGUGGGGUAAAGGCCGACCAAGGCGACGAUCCGUAACUGGUCUGAGAGGAUGAGCAGUCACCCUGGAACUUAGACACGCUCCAUACUCCUACGGCAGGCAGCAGUGGGGAAUAUUGGACAAUGGGCGAAAGCCUGGUCCAGCCAUGCCGCGUGUGUGGAGAAGGUCUUCGGAUUGUAAAGCCCUUUAAGUUGGGAGGAAGGGCAGUAAGUUAAUACCUUGCUGUUUUGACGUUACCAACAGAAUAAGCACCGGCUAACUUCGUG
This 484-nucleotide ribosomal RNA is filed under the name uncultured bacterium. Its description in RNAcentral is "partial 16S ribosomal RNA". It matches the Rfam family "Bacterial small subunit ribosomal RNA", at positions 30 to 507 of the family's 1533-position model. The record is from RNAcentral.